GUACUGGACCAACAAUUCAGUAUCAAAGAUAUCUGCCACUUAAAAUAUUUUUUAGGCUUCGAAAUAGCUCGAUCAUCCAAAGGCAUCACAUUAUGCCAACGCAAAUAUUGCUUGGAUUUGCUCAACCACACAAGCCUGCUAGGAGCAAAACUGGUUUCUAUACCAAUGGAUCCAGGCCAGCAACUACAGAAUCCAAAUGAAGACCUUUUACAAGACCCUUCUGAAUUUAGAAGCAUAAUCGACUCAUCUCGCAACUGCUUACAGAAUCGUUCGUUACCUGAAAAAGGAACCUGCACUAAGCCUCCAUUUCAAAUGCAAUUUAUCAUCUCACAUGACCGGCUUUGCCGACUCUGA
Non-coding RNA from Vicia faba (fava bean), 354 nucleotides. The record is from the annotation of a GenBank genome assembly. Lineage: Eukaryota; Viridiplantae; Streptophyta; Magnoliopsida; Fabales; Fabaceae.